UUUUAUGGAGAGUUUGAUCCUGGCUCAGAGUGAACGCUGGCGGCGUGCCUAAUACAUGCAAGUCGAACGAUGAAGCUUCUAGCUUGCUAGAAUGCUGAUUAGUGGCGCACGGGUGAGUAACGCAUAGGUCAUGUGCCUCUUAGUUUGGGAUAGCCAUUGGAAACGAUGAUUAAUACCAGAUACUCCCUACGGGGGAAAGAUUUAUCGCUAAGAGAUCAGCCUAUGUCCUAUCAGCUUGUUGGUAAGGUAAUGGCUUACCAAGGCUAUGACGGGUAUCCGGCCUGAGAGGG
RNAcentral lists this ribosomal RNA (290 nucleotides) under Helicobacter pylori. Its description in RNAcentral is "partial 16S ribosomal RNA". It matches the Rfam family "Bacterial small subunit ribosomal RNA", at positions 1 to 300 of the family's 1533-position model. Lineage: Bacteria; Pseudomonadati; Campylobacterota; Epsilonproteobacteria; Campylobacterales; Helicobacteraceae. The record is from RNAcentral.